Molecule: long non-coding RNA, 496 nt
Filed under: Homo sapiens (human)
Lineage: Eukaryota; Metazoa; Chordata; Mammalia; Primates; Hominidae
Description: HSALNT0026005
Source: RNAcentral
UCACCACUUCUCUGUCCAAAGGUCCCUCCAUCCGCCAGAGCACCGGGUCAGGCACCCGGGACAUGCCCAGGAGUGGAGAGAAGAGGGGUCCUGAGGGUCCUCACCUUGUGAGAGUCACAUCUUCACUGCUCCUCCCCCAUGGGAUCUUUAUGUAAAUUAAGCCGCACACUUAGAUUCCACAUUUUUCUCAGAUAGGCGCCAACAGGGGCUUUCUGCAUGCCUAGGUGAUGAAGUCAGAGGGUGGAAGGCUCAUGUCUGGGAGAGGGGUCCCGCUAAUAACCCCCUCCCCAACAGGGGUCCUGGGUGUAGACAGAGGCCUCCCCAGCCCAGGCCCUUGGCACGCUGUGUGCGGAGGUGGGCGACCCUCUGUCCACCCUCGGGGAGAGGGUCUGCUUCCUGCCUUCCAUGAGCCGCGCUGGGGCUAGCCAAGGCCUCUGCAGGAGGGGGAAGCACCGAGAGGGUUUCAGGGUUACAGUGGAGGGAGUUUAAUUGGGCG